Molecule: small RNA, 302 nt
Filed under: Theobroma cacao (cacao)
Lineage: Eukaryota; Viridiplantae; Streptophyta; Magnoliopsida; Malvales; Malvaceae
Description: sRNA Tc02v2_g018850
Source: RNAcentral
CAAGGGAAAAGUGUGAAAAUUCACGGAAACAAGUGAAAAAAGGUGGUGAAUCCUCAGAUAAGGGCAAAGAAAUUGUACUCGAGGAUCGAUAGUUGGAGUACUCUAAAAAUUUGACUCCCAAAAUAGCUCAGGAUAGUUUGUAGAUAGCUGAUAUCGUCGAAGGCUACAGUUGGCUUUACUUCCUCAAAAAUCGUAGGUUCACAACCUUCGUUCACUUUUGUCAUUUAGGGGCCCACGUGUCAUUGUAAAUUAAAUUACAUACCUUGACUAUCUGUAUUACAGUAUGUAUAAAUUUAUUUUGC